GCGGGCAUAGCUCAGCUGGGAGAGCGGCAGAUUGAAGAGCUGAAAGUCCCGCGUUCGAUCCGCGGUCGUCCCA
Coprinopsis sp. MPI-PUGE-AT-0042 is the source of this 73-nucleotide non-coding RNA. NCBI's taxonomy places the organism in Eukaryota, Fungi, Basidiomycota, Agaricomycetes, Agaricales, Psathyrellaceae. The record is from the annotation of a GenBank genome assembly.